GGGGGACCCACGGCGAAUGGUUCAUCAAGUCUUCAAAAAAGAAUAUAUACGAUUGCAUUGCAUAUACUAACGGAUGCGAUCAUACCAGCACUAAUGCACCGGAUCCCAUCAGAACUCCGCAGUUAAGCGUGCUUGGGCGAGAGUAGUACUAGGAUGGGUGACUUCCCGUGAAGUCCUCGUGUUGCAUCCCUCUUUUAUGUUUAACCUUUUUUUUUUUGG
This 219-nucleotide ribosomal RNA is filed under the name Arabidopsis thaliana (thale cress). Lineage: Eukaryota; Viridiplantae; Streptophyta; Magnoliopsida; Brassicales; Brassicaceae. The record is from RNAcentral.